RNAcentral lists this unclassified non-coding RNA (289 nucleotides) under Nosema bombycis. Its description in RNAcentral is "intergenic spacer". The record is from RNAcentral. Lineage: Eukaryota; Fungi; Microsporidia; Nosematidae.
GCAGGAUCAUAAAUAAAAAAGAUGGGAUUAUUAUAAUGAAAGUGUAUGCUGACAUUAUAAUAAUCUUGUCUAUGUUCUAAAUACAAAAUACCUUCACGAGGUUUAGAAUGAGUGAUAUAAGGAAGUUAUAUUGUCUAAAUUUAUGUAAGUUAUUAAUGAGUUGAUUAGAAAAGGCGUGUGUGGUUAGGUGUAAAGAAGAUUAUUAAGGUAUAUUUUUUUAUAAGGUUUUAAUUUUUUAGCUUUUAGGUUCAAGGAUUGCACACAUGUAACAACACACUAAACUUAUCCA